This 301-nucleotide ribosomal RNA is filed under the name uncultured bacterium. RNAcentral describes it as "partial 16S ribosomal RNA". It matches the Rfam family "Bacterial small subunit ribosomal RNA", at positions 509 to 807 of the family's 1533-position model. The record is from RNAcentral.
CAGCAGCCGCGGGAAUACGUAGGGUGCAAGCGUUAAUCGGAAUUACUGGGCGUAAAGCGUGCGCAGGCGGUUAUAUAAGUCAGAUGUGAAAUCCCCGGGCUCAACCUGGGAACUGCAUUUGAGACUGUAUGGCUAGAGUGUGUCAGAGGGGGGUAGAAUUCCACGUGUAGCAGUGAAAUGCGUAGAUAUGUGGAGGAAUACCGAUGGCGAAGGCAGCCCCCUGGGAUAACACUGACGCUCAUGCACGAAAGCGUGGGGAGCAAACAGGAUUAGAUACCCCUGUAGUCCCUGUCUCUUAUAC